Potamilus streckersoni is the source of this 77-nucleotide non-coding RNA. The record is from the annotation of a GenBank genome assembly. NCBI's taxonomy places the organism in Eukaryota, Metazoa, Mollusca, Bivalvia, Unionida, Unionidae.
GACCGCUCCGGUGGCCUAGUGGCUAGAGCGUCCGCCUCGAAUGCGGGAUGUCGCGAGUUCAAACCUUGGCCGAGUUA